Molecule: long non-coding RNA, 386 nt
Organism: Solanum pennellii
Lineage: Eukaryota; Viridiplantae; Streptophyta; Magnoliopsida; Solanales; Solanaceae
Exons: 2
Source: RefSeq, a predicted model, not a curated record
UUUGCUGCUUAUUCAAAACUAUGUUUUCCACUCAUUUUUUUUGUGGUUUGACACAUUCAGAUUAUCACUUCAUAUUGAAGUUGACCUAUAUGCCUAUUUGCUAAGUUCGAUGACAACAAAUGAAAAUGAUCAAAGAAUAAUGAAGUUAGUACGUUUUGAGAUUUUCCGAAAAGGAGCAAGUUAGGCAGUCUGAUAUUCAAGUCAUCAGAGUUUUAUUGAUGUCACAGCAGUUUGCAAAUCUUAAAUCCUUGUCUGUACACAGUACUGCACGUAAUUACUUUUGCCAACCCCCAACACCUACCUAUCUGUGGUCUGUAAUCAUCAAAUCCAAAAACUUGUAAUCACCAUUAACAUUUGGCAUGUCAUAAUCGUUUAGUAUCUGCUUU